AUUGAACGCUGGCGGUAUGCUUAACACAUGCAAGUCGAACGAUGAGAAAGAGCUUGCUCUUUCGAUUAGUGGCGGACGGGUGCGUAACGCGUAGGAAUCUACCUAUUAGUGGGGGACAACUUAGGGAAACUUAAGCUAAUACCGCAUACGCCCUACGGGGGAAAGAAGGGGAUCGCAAGACCUUUUGCUAAUAGAUGAGCCUGCGUAGGAUUAGCUAGUUGGUGGGGUAAAAGCUCACCAAGGCGACGAUCCUUAACUGGUUUGAGAGAAUGAUCAGUCACACUGGAACUGAGACACGGUCCAGACUCCUACGGGAGGCAGCAGUGGGGAAUAUUGGACAAUGGGCGAAAGCCUGAUCCAGCAAUACCGCGUGUGUGAAGAAGGCCUUAGGGUUGUAAAGCACUUUCAACUGGAAGGAAAACCUCGAAGCUAAUACCUUCGAGUUUGACAUUACCUUUAGAAGAAGCACCGGCUACUCCGUGCCAGCCGCCGCGGUAA
This 498-nucleotide ribosomal RNA is filed under the name uncultured bacterium. Its description in RNAcentral is "partial 16S ribosomal RNA". It matches the Rfam family "Bacterial small subunit ribosomal RNA", at positions 30 to 523 of the family's 1533-position model. The record is from RNAcentral.